GAGUAACGCGUAAUCAACCUGCCCUUCAGAGGCGUACAACAGUUGGAAACGACUGCUAAUACCGCAUACGAUCCAAUCUCGGCAUCGAGACUGGAUGAAAGGUGGCCUCUAUUUAUAAGCUAUCACUGAAGGAGGGGAUUGCGUCUGAUUAGCUAGUUGGAGGGGUAACGGCCCACCAAGGCGAUGAUCAGUAGCCGGUCUGAGAGGAUGAACGGCCACAUUGGGACUGAGACACGGCCCAGACUCCUACGGGAGGCAGCAGUGGGGAAUCUUCCGCAAUGGACGAAAGUCUGACGGAGCAACGCCGCGUGAGUGAUGACGGCCUUCGGGUUGUAAAGCUCUGUUAAUCGGGACGAAUGGUUCUUGUGCGAAUAGUGCGAGGAUUUGACGGUACCGGAAUAGAAAGCCACGGCUAACUACGUGCCAGCAGCCGCGGUAAUACGUAGGUGGCAAGCGUUGUCCGGAAUUAUUGGGCGUAAAGCGCGCGCAGGCGGAUUGGUCAGUCUGUCUUAAAAGUUCGGGGCUUAACCCCGUGAUGGGAUGGAAACUGCCAAUCUAGAGUAUCGGAGAGGAAAGUGGAAUUCCUAGUGUAGCGGUGAAAUGCGUAGAUAUUAGGAAGAACACCAGUGGC
RNAcentral lists this ribosomal RNA (631 nucleotides) under uncultured bacterium. RNAcentral's name for it is "bacterial SSU rRNA". It matches the Rfam family "Bacterial small subunit ribosomal RNA", at positions 108 to 716 of the family's 1533-position model. The record is from RNAcentral.